CGCAUCUGUGCAUGCAGCAUAUCAAUAAGCGGAGGAAAAGAAACUAACAAGGAUUCCCCUAGUAACGGCGAGUGAAGCGGGAAGAGCUCAAAUUCGAAAUCUUAAAGGGUUUCCCUUUACGAAUUGUAGUUUAAAGAAGUGUUUUCUGUUGAGGUUUUGGUAAAAGUUCUUUGGAAUAGGACAUCAUAGAGGGUGAGAAUCCCGUAUUUGACCUUUACUUUCAACUUUGUGAUACACUUUCAAAGAGUCGGAUUGUUUGGGAAUGCAGUCCAAAAUGGGUGGUAAAUUUCAUCUAAAGCUAAAUAUUGGCGAGAGACCGAUAGCGAACAAGUACCGUGAGGGAAAGAUGAAAAGAACUUUGAAAAGAGAGUUAAACAGUACGUGAAAUUGUCAAAAGGGAAGCGUUUGACACCAGUGUUGUUUUUCUGAAAAUCAAUUAAAGAACUGUUUAUGCUAAGCUUGUUUAGACUUUAUCAGCUAUCUGUUUAGUUUUGAGCUUUUCUUUAAUGCACUUUUCAGUUAACAAGUCAACAUCAAUUUCUUUUGCUGUAAAAAAGCUUGAGGAAGGUGGCUUGAGAUUCGUCUUAAGUGUUUAUAGCCUCUUGCCUAUGCAGUCGGAGAGAUUGAGGUCUGCAGCGUAGAUCCUUCGGGGCUAAAUGCAUUUGUGCUAAGUUAUAGCAUUUUAUAGACAACUUGUUGACUAUGAUUUGUCUUGUAGCUUACUCGCUUAUGUUAUUUUACCUACGCUUAGGAUGUUGAACGCGCACAGAGUCUC
Molecule: ribosomal RNA, 775 nt
Filed under: uncultured Neocallimastigales
Lineage: Eukaryota; Fungi; Neocallimastigomycota; Neocallimastigomycetes; Neocallimastigales
Description: partial large subunit ribosomal RNA
Rfam family: Eukaryotic large subunit ribosomal RNA
Source: RNAcentral